RNAcentral lists this transfer RNA (87 nucleotides) under Nitrosomonas sp. RNAcentral's name for it is "tRNA-Leu". It matches the Rfam family "tRNA". Rfam says of the family: Transfer RNA (tRNA) molecules are approximately 80 nucleotides in length. Their secondary structure includes four short double-helical elements and three loops (D, anti-codon, and T loops). The record is from RNAcentral. Lineage: Bacteria; Pseudomonadati; Pseudomonadota; Betaproteobacteria; Nitrosomonadales; Nitrosomonadaceae.
GCCGGGGUGGCGAAACUGGUAGACGCACGGGACUCAAAAUCCCGCGAUAGCAAUAUCAUGUCGGUUCGAGUCCGACCCCCGGCACCA